AGUCGAGCGAAUCGAUGGGAGCUUGCUCCCUGAGAUUAGCGGCGGACGGGUGAGUAACACGUGGGCAACCUGCCUAUAAGACUGGGAUAACUUCGGGAAACCGGAGCUAAUACCGGAUACGUUCUUUUCUCGCAUGAGAGAAGAUGGAAAGACGGUUUACGCUGUCACUUAUAGAUGGGCCCGCGGCGCAUUAGCUAGUUGGUGAGGUAAUGGCUCACCAAGGCGACGAUGCGUAGCCGACCUGAGAGGGUGAUCGGCCACACUGGGACUGAGACACGGCCCAGACUCCUACGGGAGGCAGCAGUAGGGAAUCUUCCGCAAUGGACGAAAGUCUGACGGAGCAACGCCGCGUGAACGAAGAAGGCCUUCGGGUCGUAAAGUUCUGUUGUUAGGGAAGAACAAGUACCAGAGUAACUGCUGGUACCUUGACGGUACCUAACCAGAAAGCCACGGCUAACUACGUGCCAGCAGCCGCGGUAAUACGUAGGUGGCAAGCGUUGUCCGGAAUUAUUGGGCGUAAAGCGCGCGCAGGUGGUUCCUUAAGUCUGAUGUGAAAGCCCACGGCUCAACCGUGGAGGGUCAUUGGAAACUGGGGAACUUGAGUGCAGAAGAGGAAAGUGGAAUUCCAAGUGUAGCGGUGAAAUGCGUAGAGAUUUGGAGGAACACCAGUGGCGA
This 675-nucleotide ribosomal RNA is filed under the name Bacillus sp. FJAT-4501. RNAcentral describes it as "bacterial SSU rRNA". It matches the Rfam family "Bacterial small subunit ribosomal RNA", at positions 60 to 718 of the family's 1533-position model. The record is from RNAcentral. Lineage: Bacteria; Bacillati; Bacillota; Bacilli; Caryophanales; Bacillaceae.